Molecule: transfer RNA, 82 nt
Filed under: hydrothermal vent metagenome
Description: tRNA-Leu-TAG
Rfam family: tRNA
About the family: Transfer RNA (tRNA) molecules are approximately 80 nucleotides in length. Their secondary structure includes four short double-helical elements and three loops (D, anti-codon, and T loops).
Source: RNAcentral
GCGGGAGUGGUGGAAUUGGUAGACACGCUGGAUUUAGGUUCCAGUGCUGAAAGGUGUGAGAGUUCGAGUCUCUCCUUCCGCA